GUCCACGCCCUAAACGAUGUCUACUAGUUGUUGGUGGAGUAAAUCCAUGAGUAACGCAGCUAACGCGUGAAGUAGACCGCCUGGGGAGUACGGUCGCAAGAUUAAAACUCAAAUGAAUUGACGGGGGCCCGCACAAGCGGUGGAGUAUGUGGUUUAAUUCGACGCAACGCGAAAAACCUUACCUGGGCUCGAACGACUGAAAGUAAGAUCUAAGAAAUUACGAGAUGACCUGUAAAGUCAGGAGUCAGCCGAGGUGCUGCAUGGUUGUCGU
Molecule: ribosomal RNA, 271 nt
Filed under: uncultured bacterium
Lineage: Bacteria
Description: partial 16S ribosomal RNA
Rfam family: Bacterial small subunit ribosomal RNA
Source: RNAcentral